RNAcentral lists this ribosomal RNA (253 nucleotides) under uncultured bacterium. RNAcentral describes it as "partial 16S ribosomal RNA". It matches the Rfam family "Bacterial small subunit ribosomal RNA", at positions 524 to 776 of the family's 1533-position model. The record is from RNAcentral.
UACAGAGGGGGCAAGCGUUAUUCGGAAUUAUUGGGCGUAAAGGGCGCGUAGGCGGUUCUUCAAGUCUCUCGUGAAAUCCCUCGGCUUAACUGAGGACGUGCGGGAGAUACUGAAGGGCUUGAGUCCGGAAGAGGGUGGUGGAAUUCCCAGUGUAGCGGUGAAAUGCGUAGAUAUUGGAAGGAACACCGGUGGCGAAGGCGGCCACCUGGGCCGGAACUGACGCUGAGGCGCGAAAGCGUGGGGAGCAAACGGG